UGGUAAUUAGUUUAACUAAAACAAGUGAUUUCGACUCAUUAGAUUAUGACAAACGUUAUAAUUACCAA
This 68-nucleotide transfer RNA is filed under the name Peromyscus aztecus (Aztec mouse). RNAcentral describes it as "tRNA-Arg". Lineage: Eukaryota; Metazoa; Chordata; Mammalia; Rodentia; Cricetidae. The record is from RNAcentral.